RNAcentral lists this ribosomal RNA (301 nucleotides) under uncultured bacterium. RNAcentral describes it as "partial 16S ribosomal RNA". It matches the Rfam family "Bacterial small subunit ribosomal RNA", at positions 509 to 807 of the family's 1533-position model. The record is from RNAcentral.
CAGUCGCCGCGGGAAUACGUAGGGUGCGAGCGUUAAUCGGAAUUACUGGGCGUAAAGCGUGCGCAGGCGGUUAUAUAAGACAGAUGUGAAAUCCCCGAGCUCAACCUGGGACCUGCAUUUGUGACUGUAUAGCUAGAGUACGGUAGAGGGGGAUGGAAUUCCGCGUGUAGCAGUGAAAUGCGUAGAUAUGCGGAGGAACACCGAUGGCGAAGGCAAUCCCCUGGACCUGUACUGACGCUCAUGCACGAAAGCGUGGGGAGCAAACAGGAUUAGAUACCCCAGUAGUCCCUGUCUCUUAUAC